GUCCUUCGGGAUGAGUAAAGCGGCGGACGGGUGAGUAACGCGUAGGAAUCUACCUAGUAGUGGGGGAUAACGUUUCGAAAGGAACGCUAAUACCGCAUACGUUCUGAGGAAGAAAGCAGGGGAUCGCAAGACCUUGCGCUAUUAGAUGAGCCUGCGUCCGAUUAGCUAGUUGGUGGGGUAAAGGCCUACCAAGGCGACGAUCGGUAACUGGUCUGAGAGGAUGAUCAGUCACACUGGAACUGAGACACGGUCCAGACUCCUACGGGAGGCAGCAGUGGGGAAUAUUGGACAAUGGGCGCAAGCCUGAUCCAGCCAUGCCGCGUGGGUGAUGAAGGCCUUAGGGUUGUAAAGCCCUUUCGGCGGGGAAGAUAAUGACGGUACCCGCAGAAGAAGCCCCGGCUAACUUCGUGCCAGCAGCCGCGGUAAUACGAAGGGGGCUAGCGUUGCUCGGAAUCACUGGGCGUAAAGCGCACGUAGGCGGAUUGUUAAGUCAGGGGUGAAAUCCUGGAGCUCAACUCCAGAACUGCCUUUGAUACUGGCGAUCUCGAGUCCGGGAGAGGUGAGUGGAACUGCGA
Molecule: ribosomal RNA, 575 nt
Filed under: uncultured Rhodoplanes sp.
Lineage: Bacteria; Pseudomonadati; Pseudomonadota; Alphaproteobacteria; Hyphomicrobiales; Nitrobacteraceae
Description: bacterial SSU rRNA
Rfam family: Bacterial small subunit ribosomal RNA
Source: RNAcentral